GGGUUGUGAGGUUAAGCGACUAAGCGUACACGGUGGAUGCCCUGGCAGUCAGAGGCGAUGAAGGACGUGCUAAUCUGCGAUAAGCGCCGGUAAGGUGAUAUGAACCGUUAUAACCGGCGAUUUCCGAAUGGGGAAACCCAGUGUGAUUCGUCACACUAUCAUUAACUGAAUCCAUAGGUUAAUGAGGCGAACCGGGGGAACUGAAACAUCUAAGUACCCCGAGGAAAAGAAAUCAACCGAGAUUCCCCCAGUAGCGGCGAGCGAACGGGGAGGAGCCCAGAGCCUGAAUCAGCAUGUGUGUUAGUGGAAGCGUCUGGAAAGGCGCGCGAUACAGGGUGACAGCCCCGUACACAAAAGCGCAUGUGCUGUGAGCUCGAUGAGUAGGGCGGGACACGUGGUAUCCUGUCUGAAUAUGGGGGGACCAUCCUCCAAGGCUAAAUACUCCUGACUGACCGAUAGUGAACCAGUACCGUGAGGGAAAGGCGAAAAGAACCCCGGCGAGGGGAGUGAAAAAGAACCUGAAACCGUGUACGUACAAGCAGUGGGAGCACAGGUUUACCUGUGUGACUGCGUACCUUUUGUAUAAUGGGUCAGCGACUUAUAUUCUGUAGCAAGGUUAACCGUAUAGGGGAGCCGGAGGGAAACCGAGUCUUAAUUGGGCGUUAAGUUGCAGGGUAUAGACCCGAAACCCGGUGAUCUAGCCAUGGGCAGGUUGAAGGUUGGGUAACACUAACUGGAGGACCGAACCGACUAAUGUUGAAAAAUUAGCGGAUGACCUGUGGCUGGGGGUGAAAGGCCAAUCAAACCGGGAGAUAGCUGGUUCUCCCCGAAAGCUAUUUAGGUAGCGCCUCGUGAAUUCAUCUCCGGGGGUAGAGCACUGUUUCGGCUAGGGGGCCAUCCCGGCUUACCAACCCGAUGCAAACUGCGAAUACCGGAGAAUGUUAUCACGGGAGACACACGGCGGGUGCUAACGUCCGUCGUGAAGAGGGAAACAACCCAGACCGCCAGCUAAGGUCCCAAAGUCAUGGUUAAGUGGGAAACGAUGUGGGAAGGCCCAGACAGCCAGGAUGUUGGCUUAGAAGCAGCCAUCAUUUAAAGAAAGCGUAAUAGCUCACUGGUCGAGUCGGCCUGCGCGGAAGAUGUAACGGGGCUAAACCAUGCACCGAAGCUGCGGCAGCGAACGUAUCACCCAAGACAACUUUACGGAGUUGACGAUUGACGGAGCGAAGCGACGUCAAAGCGUUCAUUAAAGUCGAGUUGGCUUAGGGAUACGUUCGUUGGGUAGGGGAGCGUUCUGUAAGCCUGUGAAGGUGUGUCGUGAGGCAUGCUGGAGGUAUCAGAAGUGCGAAUGCUGACAUAAGUAACGAUAAAGCGGGUGAAAAGCCCGCUCGCCGGAAGACCAAGGGUUCCUGUCCAACGUUAAUCGGGGCAGGGUGAGUCGACCCCUAAGGCGAGGCCGAAAGGCGUAGUCGAUGGGAAACGGGUUAAUAUUCCCGUACUUGGUGUUACUGCGAAGGGGGGACGGAGAAGGCUAUGUUGGCCGGGCGACGGUUGUCCCGGUUUAAGCGUGUAGGUGUGUGUUCCAGGUAAAUCCGGUUCACUUUAACACUGAGGCGUGACGACGAGGCACUACGGUGCUGAAGCAACAAAUGCCCUGCUUCCAGGAAAA
Molecule: ribosomal RNA, 1669 nt
Filed under: Salmonella enterica subsp. enterica serovar Typhimurium
Lineage: Bacteria; Pseudomonadati; Pseudomonadota; Gammaproteobacteria; Enterobacterales; Enterobacteriaceae
Description: partial 23S ribosomal RNA
Rfam family: Bacterial large subunit ribosomal RNA
Source: RNAcentral